AGAGUUUGAUUCUGGCUCAGAUUGAACGCUGGCGGAAUGCUUUACACAUGCAAGUCGAACGGCAGCACGGGUGCUUGCACCUGGUGGCGAGUGGCGAACGGGUGAGUAAUGCGUCGGAACGUACCGAGUAAUGGGGGAUAACGCGGCGAAAGUCGCGCUAAUACCGCAUACGCCCUGAGGGGGAAAGUGGGGGAUCGCAAGACCUCACGUUAUUCGAGCGGCCGACGUCUGAUUAGCUAGUUGGUGGGGUAAAGGCCUACCAAGGCGACGAUCAGUAGCGGGUCUGAGAGGAUGAUCCGUCACACUGGGACUGAGACACGGCCCAGACUCCUACGGGAGGCAGCAGUGGGGAAUUUUGGACAAUGGGGGCAACCCUGAUCCAGCCAUUCCGCGUGAGUGAAGAAGGCCUUCGGGUUGUAAAGCUCUUUCAGCUGGAACGAAACGGUACGCUCUAACAUAGCGUGCUAAUGACGGUACCGGCAGAAGAAGCACCGGCUAACUACGUGCCAGCAGCCGCGGUAAUACGUAGGGUGCGAGCGUUAAUCGGAAUUACUGGGCGUAAAGCGUGCGCAGGCGGAUUGUUAAGCAAGACGUGAAAGCCCCGGGCUUAACCUGGGAAUGGCGUUUUGAACUGGCAGUCUAGAGUGCGUCAGAGGGGGGUGGAAUUCCACGUGUAGCAGUGAAAUGCGUAGAGAUGUGGAGGAACACCAAUGGCGAAGGCAGCCCCCUGGGAUGACACUGACGCUCAUGUACGAAAGCGUGGGUAGCAAACAGGAUUAGAUACCCUGGUAGUCCACGCCCUAAACGAUGUCAACUGGUUGUUGGGGGAGUGAAAUCCCUUAGUAACGAAGCUAACGCGUGAAGUUGACCGCCUGGGGAGUACGGUCGCAAGAUUAAAACUCAAA
This 905-nucleotide ribosomal RNA is filed under the name uncultured bacterium. RNAcentral describes it as "bacterial SSU rRNA". It matches the Rfam family "Bacterial small subunit ribosomal RNA", at positions 8 to 905 of the family's 1533-position model. The record is from RNAcentral.